This 427-nucleotide ribosomal RNA is filed under the name uncultured bacterium. Its description in RNAcentral is "bacterial SSU rRNA". It matches the Rfam family "Bacterial small subunit ribosomal RNA", at positions 355 to 774 of the family's 1533-position model. The record is from RNAcentral.
UGGGGAAUAUUGGACAAUGGGCGCAAGCCUGAUCCAGCCAUGCCGCGUGGGUGAAGAAGGCCUUCGGGUUGUAAAGCCCUUUUGUUGGGAAAGAAAAGCAGCCGGUUAAUACCCGGUUGUCAUGACGGUACCCAAAGAAUAAGCACCGGCUAACUUCGUGCCAGCAGCCGCGGUAAUACGAAGGGUGCAAGCGUUACUCGGAAUUACUGGGCGUAAAGCGUGCGUAGGUGGUGAUUUAAGUCAGAUGUGAAAGCCCUGGGCUCAACCUGGGAACUGCAUUUGAUACUGGGUCACUAGAGUGCGGUAGAGGAUAGCGGAAUUCCUGGUGUAGCAGUGAAAUGCGUAGAGAUCAGGAGGAACAUCCGUGGCGAAGGCGGCUAUCUGGGCCAGCACUGACACUGAGGCACGAAAGCGUGGGGAGCAAACA